This 207-nucleotide ribosomal RNA is filed under the name uncultured bacterium. Its description in RNAcentral is "partial 16S ribosomal RNA". It matches the Rfam family "Bacterial small subunit ribosomal RNA", at positions 568 to 774 of the family's 1533-position model. The record is from RNAcentral.
CGCGUAGGCGGUCUCUAAAGUCAGAUGUGAAAGCCCGGGGCUUAACCCCGGAAGUGCAUUUGAAACUUAGGGACUUGAGUAUGGGAGAGGGAAGUGGAAUUCCUGGUGUAGCGGUGAAAUGCGUAGAUAUCAGAAGGAACACCAGUGGCGAAGGCGACUUCCUGGACCAAUACUGACGCUGAGGCGCGAAGGCGUGGGGAGCAAACA